Molecule: ribosomal RNA, 484 nt
Filed under: uncultured bacterium
Lineage: Bacteria
Description: partial 16S ribosomal RNA
Rfam family: Bacterial small subunit ribosomal RNA
Source: RNAcentral
AUUGAACGCUGGCGGCAUGCUUUACACAUGCCAGUCGAACGGCAGCGCGGGCUUCGGCCUGGCGGCGAGUGGCGAACGGGUGAGUAAUGCAUCGGAACGUGCCCAGUAGUGGGGGAUAGCCCGGCGAAAGCCGGAUUAAUACCGCAUACGACCUGAGGGUGAAAGCGGGGGACCGAAAGGCCUCGCGCUAUUGGAGCGGCCGAUGUCGGAUUAGCUAGUUGGUGGGGUAAAGGCUUACCAAGGCGACGAUCCGUAGCUGGUCUGAGAGGACGACCAGCCACACUGGGACUGAGACACGGCCCAGACUCCUACGAGAGGCAGCAGUGGGGAAUUUUGGACAAUGGGGGCAACCCUGAUCCAGCCAUGCCGCGUGCGGGAAGAAGGCCUUCGGGUUGUAAACCGCUUUUGUUCGGGAAGAAAUCCUCUGGGCUAAUACCCCGGGGGGAUGACGGUACCGGAAGAAUAAGCACCGGCUAACUACGUG